RNAcentral lists this long non-coding RNA (226 nucleotides) under Carica papaya (papaya). RNAcentral's name for it is "long non-coding RNA (CPAP_LNC008522)". The record is from RNAcentral. Lineage: Eukaryota; Viridiplantae; Streptophyta; Magnoliopsida; Brassicales; Caricaceae.
GAAUUUUAGUUAUCUUGAUUUGAAAUAGUUAAUGAAAAAGUAAGCUACACUAGCCGAGUAAAAAUAUCACACUAAUAACAGAUACGAAAAACUGAAUAUUAAUAAAAAAAUUAGAAAAAUAACUAAUUGAGCUCUUGCUUUAUUUAAAUACAUUUAAACUUGAAGACGUUUGUUUAAUACUUACCAUAACGAGUUUUUCAAAGACAACUUAUGAAGACUCAUAUUC